GUGUGUGUGUUUGUUUAGUUGAAUCCAAAAUGUGUUUUAGAAGAUAUUGUUUGUAAUAAUAUUUUUAACAAUACUUUGUUUUUGUUGUGCAGCUAGUUGAAGAGCUGAAGAAGGAAUACCUGAGGCUUUUGCCGCUGACGGAGAGCAGCAAAGAGUUGCUCGACGAGUUACAGACAGAUUUGGAGUGUUGUGGACUUCAGGGCUACCAGGACUGGAAAUCCAACAUCCCAAAAUCCUGCCUUUGCACCAAAGAGUCCACUAAUUCGUGUGUGGAAACUCUUGGAGGCAGCUGGGAGGAAAAUCAGACUGUUAUGAUUUAUGAACAGGUAUUAAAGACAUUCUCAUCAUUUUUCCAGGAACUUGUGUAAACUCUAUAAGCUGUUAUGGCAAAAGCAGGCAACUACACCACCCUCACAGAGCCUCCAGACGACUUCCGAUGUCUUUGCUAGUUCUGAUGCUUCCAGCAGUGAUGGCCAUUAUUUAAACAUGCUAAAUAAUAAAUAUAUUUAUGACAAUUGCUUAUAUUGAAUAUAUCCUACAUAUCCUACAAGUGCAUUAUGGACUAUUUUAUUAUGACUUUGUGAAUUUCAACUCAGUUGAUUGAGAUUAUGGAUCUGAGAUAUCAACACGGAGUGAAAACGCACGAUUUAAAUGUAAUAUAACUAAACAUCUAAACAUGUAUCUAAAACAAACUGAAUAUUAUGUGUGAAUUGUUUUAAUACUUUCUGAUUUCGUAGCUUUUAAUUUUUCUACACUGUGUAAAUUUUGGUUUGUCUAUGUUUCUUUUCUUUUCUUUUCUUUUUUUUAACUUUUUUUUGUAUAUCCAGUUUUACAUUUCUACUUUAUGUUCAUUUUUUAAUACAAUGUGAUUGUUAUAUACUGGUAGUUAGCAUGAGGUGCCUUUUUUCACUGCACUGUAUCAUUUAGGACAGCUGCCAAAAUUUAAUACAUUUAAAAUGGAUACAACUAUCAUUUACAUACCUCAGCAUUUGCUGGUGGGUUAACCGAGCUGUUAGCAUCAUUACGAGGACGGGCAGUUUCAGUUUUGUAGG
This is a long non-coding RNA of Oreochromis aureus, 1052 nucleotides long. RefSeq lists it as uncharacterized. The record is from RefSeq and is a predicted model, not a curated record. The transcript has 3 exons. NCBI's taxonomy places the organism in Eukaryota, Metazoa, Chordata, Actinopteri, Cichliformes, Cichlidae.